UACGAAGGGGGCUAGCGUUGUUCGGAUUUACUGGGCGUAAAGGGCGCGUAGGCGGGCUGAUCAGUCAGGGGUGAAAUCCCAAGGUUCAACCUUGGAACUGCCUUUGAUACUGUCGGUCUUGAGUUCGAGAGAGGUAAGUGGAACUGCGAGUGUAGAGGUGAAAUUCGUAGAUAUUCGCAAGAACACCAGUGGCGAAGGCGGCUUACUGGCUCGAAACUGACGCUGAGGCGCGAAA
RNAcentral lists this ribosomal RNA (235 nucleotides) under uncultured bacterium. RNAcentral's name for it is "partial 16S ribosomal RNA". It matches the Rfam family "Bacterial small subunit ribosomal RNA", at positions 524 to 758 of the family's 1533-position model. The record is from RNAcentral.